Molecule: long non-coding RNA, 24765 nt
Filed under: Nicotiana tabacum (common tobacco)
Lineage: Eukaryota; Viridiplantae; Streptophyta; Magnoliopsida; Solanales; Solanaceae
Description: long non-coding RNA (NTAB_LNC000710)
Source: RNAcentral
AACUAUUUCCCAUAUUCACUAAAAUUCUUCAGAAUUUACUCUUCAGCUUUCUCCACUGGAACUGCUUUCUCUUCAACAGAUUCUGCUGCUGCUACUGGUUCCUCAGCUGCUGCAUCUGUGGUUUUCUCAGCCACUGCUUCUUCAGUUACUGGAGCUGAUUCAUCUGCUACAGGGACAGCUUUCUCUGUUUCUGGUUCCUCGACAGGGGCUGCUUCGAGUUCAGCCUCCGCGACAGGGGCUGCAACCUCUUCAACAGGAGCCGCAACUGGUUCCUCAGCUGCUGGCUCCUCUGUUUCUAUGGCUGCAGGUUCUGCUGCAGCCACAGGUUCUUCAGCAGCAGGGGCUGCUUCCUCAGCGGGAGCAGGCUCUUCUACUGGUGCUGCUGCUGAUUCGACGACGGAUUCGCUUUCUACAACUGGGGUUGGUUCCUCUACUUUGGUUUCCUCUGGGGUUGUUUUUACCUCAACCUCAGCUGGAGCAGUCUCUACUGCUGCUACUGGUGCAGAUUCAACCUUCAGACAAAAUUUGAAACAAUUAGUUGGGAAUAUGUUACCGUCAUGUUAGUAUGUUUAUUUUAGUUCCUACAUUUACUAGGAAUCUUUAUAUUCGAUCGCCGAUUUAUAUGACAAGUAGAAAAUAUAGAGAACUUAAAUGAAGUGACAUAGUUAGUGAAGAUUUAGCUGAUCCUAACUUGCUUGGGGUUGACGUGUAGUAGUAAUUAUGUUGUUUUGAAUUCUUGAUAUCAAACUAUGGUCAUAAAAAAGCUCUGAUCACUGACCUUCUCAAGAUAUUUCAUUAUAAAACCUUUAUCCAAGAAUGAUCUAAUAAUAUUUUCAAGAUAUAAAAUGUAUUGAUCAACCAUUAGAUUUUAUUCACUUCAUCAGAUUGUGUAAAAUGUAAAUCUUGAAAAGGGCACUGAUCAGUUGAAGAACAGGUUAGCUAACUGAUCUUGAUCAGUUUUAAGUUUUCAUUUAGAAAGAAAGGAAGAAAAAAAUUGCAAAAUAACAUUACUAUAAAAGUACCUCAACGCUGGCCAUUGGAAAUUGAAGGAAUAAAGUUGAAACUAAGAAGAUGGGAAGAGAAGAAAAAUAAUGAAAUGGAGGGGGUCUUAGGAAGAAAAGGUGGCCAAAGUGUUUCUAAUUGUGAUUGGUGAUGAAAAAGGAUCAAAUGAGAGAGCAAUAUAUAGAGAAGUAAAAUCGACUGUAUUAAUUAAAAUAAUGGAAAGAAAAGAAUCUUGAGGGAUAUACAAAUUCACAUCUCACAUCACUGACAUAAAAGGGUGACCAAAAAUAUUAGGAUGUCUAGUUGUAAAUGUAUUUACUUUACUUUAUGCUUACAAAAAAAUUAAUAUUAAAAUCCAAUCAAGUCGAGGUCGGUUGUAUAAAUUCUCAUUGUAUGUUAUAUCCCAAAUGUAUUCUGCAUUUUAAAGAUGCAUUAUAAAUUAAUUAAUUUCAUGUUGAUUAUCGAUAUACCGUAAUUUACCUCUUUCAUUCAAAUUGAAAACGAUGAUAUUAAUAAGUUACAUAAAUAAUAAUUACGCUUCAAUCUUAAAUAAGUUGGAGUUGAUUUCGUCAUAAAUUGACAAAUUUUGCGCUGACCUCCAACUUAUCACAACUCUCAUCUUUUAUCCGAGCUUGAAACCGGCAAUAUAAGCAAGCUCACAUCCGCUAUUUGAGAUUUUCCAACACAACUUUUUUCUUUUUGCUAAUUGAUUUUCAAGAUGAGGAGCUUUUUCUUUGGUAAGAUUAUUAUUAAUUAUUUAUUAAAUCAUUUAUUAGUUUGUUUAAAGGCAUUUGUUUGAUUGGGAAAAGGCAAAGUCACAUGGUGGUGGAGGCCAUUUCCUAUAAACAGCUAUGAUAUCUUUUUUCUUGAGUGGUUUCUUCUGUGUUUUGUGCAGUAGGGCACGUAGGUGACUAAGACUAUAUAUCAUGCUUUCAUGUUCUAAUAAUUUUUAAAAAUAAUAUUUUUCUUUUUCUGUUCCAGCUUCUUCUUUUUUUAAUUACUAUUUUGUUAACUCUAGAUCUUCACAACAAAAUCUCUUGGUUUAAGGGAAUGAAUCUAAUUGCUAAUUCAUGCAUAUACUCAUACAAAAUGACUCAGCUUUAUUCUAAUUUUAAUAUAUGUAUUUAUUGGAUCCUGUAAACUAUUGAUACUAUAUUACUUUAUCAUACAAAUUACCACCAAGAUUUUGACAAAGUAGUGACAGAGUAAAUACAUCACUAAUUACUAAAUUAAACAUUUAUGAAAAGUAAAAUGAAAAGAUUAAGCUAACAGGUUGGCAGUUAAAAUGCAAAGACAUCAAAUUUUAAGGCAACCAUAGAGUGAAUAAGCUUUUAGUUUUAUACGUUAACACGAGAAUAAAAAAUAUUCAACUUGAUAAUAUUUACGCCCUCUAUUUCAUUUUAUGCCACAUUAUUUUUUUAUUAGUCCAUUAAAAAAAAUAUUUUUACAUUUAAGAUAAAUUUAACUUUAUAUUUUUUAUUUACCAUUAAAUGAGAAGCUUUUAUCGACACAUAAAUAUUAUAACAUGUUCAAAACACAAGUUUCAAAAUACUUUUUUUCAUUUUUAAAUUUUGUAACGAGUCCAACUAUGUCACAUAACUUGAAACUAUCAAUAUUAAGUAAUGGAAACCAGGAGCAGAACUAGAGUAUUAGAUACGGGUUCGAACAAAACUGUUAAUAUUAAUUAAAUAUAUAUAAAUAUUUGAAUGCAAGCUCAGUAAUUAAAACUAGUUGUGAGUUCGAUAAUAAGUUCAUAAUCCAUAAAUUUUAAAUAUUGACUCCCGACACUGUAUUCAAAUUAUGUUUUUUCUGUCGGCGUGGCACAGUUUUUAUUUACACUAAAAUAUAUUGUGCGUAACAUAAGAUUUCACCAGAUAUUUUCCUUAGCUAGUAAUGUUGAGUAAAAUGUUUUUUACGAGAGUGGUCAAAGAUGAGAAUGUUUAGGAAUUUGAAAAAAAUAGCCAACUUGAUUUUCUUUCUGAUUUGUGGACAAAUGGAUAUGAACGUAAAGGCCAAAAUAAUAGUGAAGGGCCGGUGCCGAAUUGGACCCCACUAUCACAAAAUACGAUCAUAAAACGUCCAAAUGGGUCCCAUACCACAGCAAAAAUCUGACGUGGCACAUUCCUUUUUGGAAAAAUGAUAAUGUAUAGCUGCGGUAAAAAUAAUAGCCAAAAUUAUAUAUUUUUUGUAUAUAUAUAUAUUUUUUAUAUUAUAUACAAAAAUUAUAUAAAUUUUAUAUAUUUUUUCAGCUAUUAAAUAUAAAUAGUUUCUGAUUCGGAUUAAAAGAGAUAAUAUCUCAUUCUUUUUCGAUCCAUGUCAUCCCACAUACUUUUGGGCUUUCUCUGAAUGGGCCCUACUUUAAUAUGUUUAAUAGGGCCUUGUGGGACCAUACCUAAGCCUUGAGAUGCUUUCCAGGUACUACACCUCGUGCUUUGGGUCCCACUAGCAUGAUUUCGCCACGCUGGAGUUGUGUCAUCCGCCACUCUAUCACGGAUUGUAAUUAAGUGGUAAGUACUUGUUUAUUCGAACGAAAAUAUUUAUAAAAGAACUGACAAAUUUUAAGAGGAAAGUAGUAUGGUAAGCAAAGAAGCCCUAAUCGACUUCUCGGAUUUGUCUCUGGGACUACGUUAACGUUAAGUUUAAAUACGGAUAUCAUAUGAACUAGUAUUAUACUUAUAUGUAAAUUCGCCUAAUAUAUCCCGUGCACCUCUUCUUCCUAAGCUUGUCAGCUAAGAAGACGAAUUCUUUCUCUCUGAUCCUGCCUCGUCGACCUGCCUUUCGUCACGGUCGUCACACUAAUCCAAUAAGUGUUCGCUAAAAGUGAAAUUUUUUAAGUUUAAACUUUAUUUAUUAGCAUAAAUUAUACGAACAAAUGUUGUUACCGAAAUGAUGUUAGACAUGCUGACACAUUUCUGAAUAGAAAAAGUAGGCAGUACUAUUUGAUAUUGUCCUUAACUAUGAUUGACAUUGAUACCAGUACAAAAGAGAAUAUAUAGCACAUUAAAUUUGAUUUUAUAAUUUCUCAAGCUAGAGUUUCUAAUAAAGAAUUUCAUCAAAAGCCUGUUGUUUCAACUACUAUUAAGUACAUUUUUAUCACUUAAAAUGCAUUAUAAUUCUUAUUAUUAAGAUCGCAAAACAGUCAAUAAACACUAAAUUUUGGACUAUAGCAGUGGGGGGGGGGGGGGGGGACAAGGCAAGAGUCGUCAUCAGAAUAUACAUCUCGAAUUAGAGUGCACAAAGCGUAGUCAAGAAUGUAUUAAUUAGUGCUAAUACUUAUAUUAUCCCUAUAAACUAAGGUUAUUUUAAGACUUUUGGUUGAUUUAGAUUGCUUAAAGUCAUACAUGAUUUAAUAAUCAGAGGUGGAACCAGAAUUUGAAAUUAUUGCGUUCAGGAUUCUAGCCUUUUAUGUUAUUGGAUUUUAAAGUAGGAAUUUGUCCUUAUUUAGUGGAUUUUUUAAGACAUAUAUAAGGCUUACACUAAAGCUAUUGGGUUCGGUCGAACCCGGUACCGAAGCUCUAGCUUUGCACCUGUUAACAAUUUAAAUACACCUUAAUUAUAUGAAAGUUUAUAUGUUUUGUAAGAAAAAUACGAGACUAGUGAAGAUUCUUUCCGAUAAGAAGCUUAGCUGUAUUAUUAUGUACGAUACAUGUUACUCUGUAAAGGUAUAAAAAGAUAGAACGAAUUACUGAUAACAUUUUUAUUACUAUUUUUUUGCCGAUUCAUAUACAAAUAGAGGGACCCAUUUAGGAAUUUUAAUACAUUGACUGUGGCAAAACCAAGUUGGUAUAUAUCCACGUAAAUUGUUUAAAGAUGGGAUAUAAAGUGUGAUGGCUCUUUUGUUUGGCUACUUUCCUUUGAAUACUUUGAUAUUCUUUUAAUCCCACUAUAAUAAUUUUAUAUGUAAUCUUCUAAUUGACAUCUUAAUUACAGGGCUUCCAUAGUCCAUACUCUUUAUCCCACAAAAAGAAGAUACAAUUUUUAGUAGAAAAAUAGAAACAUGUAGGGCGCGUUUUAUCCCUUUAUGCUAUUUCAGGCACAAACUAAAAUUAUUUGUUAGUGAAUUUUGUAUAUCGAAUGAUUAAAUUUAUAAUAGUUGAAAUUACUAACAAUCCUUUGUUAAAGUAACUCUGUAAAGGAAAGUAAAUAAUGCUAAUAUGUUUUUUAAAAUUUCAACAUAUCAAUAAUACUCAUACUGAAUAAUCAGUUGCAAUUUGAAUGUUGCAGUUUGAAUAGAAGAAAAAAAAUUAUGUGUUUUAUAUUAUCUAUCUCCUGUGUCUUAACAUGAAAUCUUUUUUGGAACAUUUGUAAUAAGUCAGAAAACUGAUAAACUCGAGAUUUUGACACUUUGCAAGUGUGAUAUAUUUAUAUAACAGUUCAAGAGUAAGUAAUAUGAUAGUAUAGAACUUUAAGAUUUAAGUUAUUAUUAUUGUUAUUAUUAUUAUUAUUAUUAUUAUUAUUAUUAUUAUUAUUAUUAUUAUUAUUAUUAUUAUUAUUAUUAUUAUUAUUAUUAUUAUUAUUAUUACCAAUUACUUGGAUAAUAAAGAAUACAAACCCUUCAAAAAAUUAUUAGAUCUUUGUCAGGAUUUUACAAUCAUGAAUGUCUUAAUCAAUUUUAUUGUCUUAGAAAAAGUAAUUCGAAUAUCUACACUAUUAACAUGUUAGUAUUGUUGAAACGAACAUACUCACAUGACUUUUUGUCCACCUCUCUAUAGUAUAUAGUAAGUUAUUUUUUUCGAUUUUUCACCCGAUGACCUUGUACUGGAAUUGUACUAUUUAUAUAGUAGAAAAUUGAUAUCUUAUUUAUCACGAGCCAGUCACUUGAGUUACACUACUAGCACAAUUAAAGUGUUUAUUUGUAGAAGACUAACGAUUAAGAUCAGUAAGUUAGCUAGCUAUUGUGUAUUCUAUGUUAUAUUUUUCAAAAUUCACUGUAGUGAUUCAGAUUUAACUAUCAAAAUAUUGUUUCUUUGAUCCAACAUUUAAGGUCUUAUGAUUUUGUUCAUUUGAACUUCAACUCAAACCCUAAGGCAUUUUUACUAUUAAAUUCUGAACUCGUCCUUAUUUCCAUCCCCCUUCGUUUUGAUAUGGAAUUUAUCUUAGGAAAUCUUCACGACGAACAUACCUUUUGAGUUCAAUCGCUAGUAGGUUGUUACAUUAAGCGCUCUACUUUAAUAUUGAAUCCGACCUAUAUUUUUCCUUCAUUUUUUGUACAAGAUAUAGCUCCUAGUUUUUUUUUUCCCCCUAAAAGUACAUUAGUAAAAAUAUAUUUAAGGAUGUGGGAACCCAUCUCCAAGGUUUUCCAAUCCUGUCCAAGUCGUUUUUUUCCUCUUAGUUUCUUUUGUUUUGCUGCGACAAACUUGCGUAACGUGUGUUUCUUCUUUUUUUGCUUUUGAUUUCUUUCGUAUUAUUUUUCUUUUUUGGACACAUCUCAUUAUAUCCUUUUCAAUAAUAAUGGUGCAUUCCGCAUUUCUUCUUCCUCCAAAACAUUUGAGAAUCUUGAUAUUCCUCACCUCAUUUAUUUUUUAUCGGUAACAUAGAAAAUUAAAUAAAAUUUACCGCCAUAGUCCAUAUACAUCACUCAGAAUCUUGAUAUUUCUCACUUUCAGUUCUAGGCAAAGAUGAAAAAGGAAUUACACAAUUUGAUCAUUUAUAAAAUAAUUACAAGCAUUUUUUAUGAUAAGAAUUAAUUUAUAAACUUAAUAGAGUAAUAAGUAAUACGUUAUAAUCGGUUAAAUUAUAUUGAUCAUAAAAAAGAUUUUGCAUUAUCGGUAUAUAUUUUAUACGCUCUUUGUGGACAUGAAGUGAGAAAUCAACCCUCACUCGUUGGCAAUCGCAAGACAAUUCUCUUGACAUGCAAUACUUACAUAUAAUAACAAGAUUCCCUCAAAACGACAGCUAUUAGUUCUGUUUUGUUUAAUCAUCGUAAGCAUCAGGUUUGUCGGCUUCUAAUCUUUCAUUAUAACUAAAAUAGGUUCUCGGUGCACAAAGCAUUUCGCGAUGGGUCUUGAAAAAGUCACCCUCUUUAGGCUAAUUUUUAUGGCUCAAACAAUACUUGACUAGUGGCAGAACCACAAAAUUACAAUGGGGUAUCAAAAUAUAAAAAGGUAAAACACAUGCACGAAGAAUAUAAGGGGAAUCAGUAUACUUUCUUACGAAGGGGUGUAAAUACCCCUUAGCAUAACUGUUUACCCUCAAAAUCGGAUAACAAUUGAAUUUAUAAGUGAUUUUAAGAAUACGUGGAUUAACUUUAUACAAAACGAUAAUUUAGAUUGUAAUUUAAAUAAAUAAUGAUAAAAUAAAUACAAACCACACGAAUUGAACAAUCUCAGCCUUGGAAGGUUAAUCACCCUUGAGUUGGACGUACUUCGAUCGGUAUCAAGACACAGAAGAAUAAGAGAUUAAUGAGAAUAAUAAUGUAUUGCUUUGGAAUGCGUGUUACAAUCUCCUUUACAAGUAACCAGACUCCCUUUAUAUAGUAGGGGAGUCCUAUAUUAGUUAUAACUCUAUAAAAGGUAAAAAAUCUCUUGAUUUGUUGAUCGCCGAUUCCUUAUUGAUACGUGCCGAGAUUCCCGCCGUAAUAUCCGACCGGUUACUGAUAUUUCGGUCUUCUGUUAUGCUAACAAUGUUUCUUCGAUGUCGUUUGAACCAGGACCGAUUCCAGAGUCACGGCCUCGGUGUUAUUGAAGGCAGGUGUUUGUUCCCGAUUGCUAACCCGGUGGGGCUUGGGGACGAUCUUCAGUCCUUUAUUGCUAUGUCUCGAGCCCGGCCUAUCAUGUCGGAUGCUAGGGUAUACUACAAGCUCGAUUUUACCUGUAUACAGAUAGUCCCCUCGUUUUUCGGAGAGUAGAUGAUGAGAAACGAUAUGAGCUCCCGAUUCUCACUUCGAUAUACCGUGACAAAAAUGUCAAACUAGUUGAAACGUCCCGUCGGUCUAGUCUUAAUAGAAUUAAAUGCUUGUCAGUUAUCGGUCGGCCACUCCAGAUGUGAACCGUCGUUGGAAAAAUAUAAAUACCCUUCCAUUUGUUCAUUCAAACUUUUCCAUCCAAGCUUUCUGCCCUCGUGUCUAUGAAAUUUCAAUACUUCCAAGCACUUAUAUUCUGGUUCCUUUGAGAUCUUUUAUAAGAACUCUUAUUGGUCUUCAUCCCAAACCAUCAAGUGUACUCUUUUAACUUCUUCUUUUCCCUCAUUUUUUCUCCAUAUUUAUAAGAAAUGGCGAAGACUUCAAAAUCCGUUCCCCAAAAAGAAACUCUUUCUACCUCGCGGUCGGCUACCGAUGAUAAUGUCUCACGUACUACUAUCGAGGAACAGGUACCGGAACCUCCUCUGAAAAUGUUCAUCCCCGGGGGGUGCCCGGUCAAUGUUGAUUUUAAAGUCGAAAAGCCCUCCUCCGUACCAGGCCGGUACGAGGAGGUCUCGAGAUACAUCUGCUCGGUCACCGAGGAUAUUUUCUCAGAAGUCAAAAAGAAUUGCAACUGGGUUGACAAACAUAUGGUGAUUCCCGAACCUGACGAAUCCAUUACCACCCACGUCGAGGGAUUUUUAAGUGUUUUCACUUAUCCCUUCAUGCCGGGCCCCUUGGACCCGGUUAUCAUCAACUUUUGCAAAAGAUACGAGGUAACUCUCGGUCAAAUUCACCCUUAUUUCUGGAUAAUCGUAAUCCUCCACCGUUUCUUUGUAAGCAAGAUCGAAGUGUACCCCUUCACUAUCGACCGCCUCAUGAUUUAUACAAUCCCCGACUCUAUCGGGGAGAUUGAUCAAGCUCGCCCGUCGGGCCAGUAAAGCCCUGUUCUCGAGUAUCGAUGAAGAUCGGGAUCGAGGUUGGCUAGGCCGUUUCGUCCGAGUGAGGACUUCAGACUUGAUCCCGUCCGAGCACAUGUCGUUCCAUGAGAAGUGGAACAUGUCAUGUAAGUAUAAUUUUGCUUCCAAGAUUUAAUUUAUCGCUUUUUUCCUUUAUUCUUAUCGGUGUUCUGUGGUGGUGCAGUUGUUGUUCGGAUCCCGAAUGCAGUUCUUCGACUCAAGGAGUGAGUCGAGGGCAUCGUAUUACAAAGUUCUUAUUCCGAGCAUUCGUGGCGCGAGCUUUCAAAGGGCCGAUGGGAGGCCCGUUCGCAGGGUGAGAUCUCUUUCAUGAGCAAUAUUUGGUUUCCCUUUUGCAUCAUUAAGUUCUCACUAGUUUCUUUCCUUUUGCAGGUUUAUCCAAGGAUGUCAAAAUAAGGGCCCUAUCCGGUAGCGAUGAUUUCCCUACCGAGUCCCCUGCUCCAAGACAGGGUGAAGAGAAGAAAAGAAAAGGGGCUUCGAGUUCUUUGAGCUCGGAGAAAAAGAAGCCAAGGAGAAGGUUGGUGCGUAAAUCCAAAGAAAGCACCAGUGCUCGAGCACCAUCUCCGGAUUCACUCUAUCGACUGAGUGAUGAAUCCAAAGGAGAAGGAGAAGCCUUCGAUCUGAUGGCCAUGGUGCCGUCGCGGCACAAAGUUAGGGAGGUCGAAGAGGAGGUCAGGACCGAAUCUUCUCGGGAUAUGGGAAAUACCCCGAAGGAAGCACUAAGUGUGAUAGAGAUCACCGAGCCACCCCCGUUUACUGAGUCCAUGAACAACGAGGCCCAAAUAGCUAAAGGACGCCCCAUUGAGGGAGACCAUGGAGCGGACGACCCCUUCCUUGGGUUUUUUGACGGAGUGGACUCUACGGCCACGGAGGACGUCACCGGGUUAGGUGACUUAGAGAUACCGAGGAAGAGCCCAUCUUAGGGAGCAAAUGGACCUUCCUCGAGCCCCAAACUGGUCAAUCCAUUCCCUACUCUCAGUAUGGAUCCUGGACGGAAGCGAUCCAUUGUUAUCUCCCUUCCGGAGGAUGCCCGAGUCCUCUCCGCCUCCGUAGGGGUGGCCAAUUAUCUUCGGUGUCUGGUGACUGAGGAUGAUUAGGCUAAGAUGAACGAGGUGGAUGCACCUCAGUUGUUCAAUGAAGCACAACAUGCGUUAAACUGGGAUUUUGUCUUUGUGCUUGUAGGCCUCGGUGUUUCACCAUGAGAUUUUUCUGCGAUAUCGGGAUGAGCUGAAACAGCUCAAAGCCGAGGUCCUUGGGCUCACUGAGAAGAGAAAUGCUUAUAAACUUCUUAGCGAGCAGUUUGAAGGGGAGGCUAAGAGCUUCCGAGCUGAGCUGGAGGUUGCUCGGAAGGAUCAUGCCAACCUGACCGAGCAGGUAAACAUAUUUGAGGUUAGUGAUGAUGGACUAGGUUUGGUGACUGAUGAUCGAAAUCUGCAGGUCCAACAGAAUAUCGAUCGAAUCGAUCAUCUCCGAGCCGAGAUAGAUGCAAUUAAGGCCAAGACCGAAGAAUGGAGAGGCAGAAUGGACUGUCUGGCCUCGAAAAAAAUGUUGCUCGGGCACAACUGACUUCUGCUGAGGUCCGGCUUCGAGCGAUAAAGGAAAAGGCCGAGGUGCAGGCCAAAAAGGUUGAAAAGAUCCAGUCUCAACUAAGUUCGGUCGCCUCUAAUCGAGAAUUUAUGGCCAAGGAGAUUGAAACAGCCAAGUCAGCGGCCGUGGUGGUCUAAGACGAAGUCAACGAGAUGGUGGCCCAAUAUAAGGCCGAUGCCGAGGCGGCCAGGACCGCUUGAAUGACUUUGUUGAAUAUGAGAAGUGGCAGUCACAAAGAGAGGCCCUCGAAGAGAUUCAAGCUCAGGGUUUGGAUCUGUCGGCCGAGAUCAAAAUCGCUAAGGGGCUCGAGGCCGAGGCCAAGAAGUUGGCUUACCCCGAGGAAGAAGAGAAAGAAGACUCUGAGGGUCCCGGUGGAUCCGGGGGUGGAGAAGACAGGCUAUUUAGACGCCUUUGUAGAUGUUUUUGCUUUUUUUAUUUUUUGUACUUGUGUAUUUUUGUAUUUUUUGUCAAGUCCGUUUGGCCUUUCUAAAGACUUUAUGUAUAUAUAAUACAAGGCUUCCUUUUUCCUUCGAAAAGUUUUGAGUUUUGUGUUUCUUUGCUUUAUUCUUAUAUGUUUGCAAAGAUCGAAAUGCCUUAGCAUGAACUAGUUAGGUCAUGUUCAGAGGUUUGAACAUGCCUUAUCUUUGACAUUAUUUUGUCUAAGGCAUCGUGGGGGGUUCGGUAUUACCCGAACGUUUCCCCAAAGCACUUAUAAUUUUUUUUAUUAUAGUUUGCUGAGGGUAGCCUUUAGAACCGAUUUAGAAAUUUUUUAAGGCCUUGUUUUUUUAUUACGGGUCACGGACGUCUCCGUGCCGUUUUAAUAUGGCUGUAGCCUUUUAGUUCGGGUGUUGCCCAGUGGGCUUGUCACCUCAAGUUAUCCAGGCUUGCCUAAGAUAACAGUCCCCGAAUGGGGAUGGCCGUAGCCUUUAAGGUUCAGGCGUUGCCUAAUAGGUCUUGUGCCCCCGGGCUCCCUCAGCCCGAGCCGUCCGAGUUUGUUUUUGGACGACAAUCCCCGAUUGGGAAUGAUUGUUUGAAACCAGAUAACGGUGGCCCUUGGGCUCGAUAUCUUUAGGGGAUCGAAUGUAGGAAAUUCCUUAAAAGGAAAGAAAAAAGAGAAAUUCUUAAGGGAUAAGAUAUUUAUCCGCAAGGUUGAGACUUCUUUUUAUUCUUGUGCGUAAUAGUUAUACAUAUGUACAAGCUUUGUGCCAGGGCUCGAGCAGUCUAUGCGGGCACGGUUCAUUUAACUGUUUGGCCCUUAUAGUAAAUUCUAUCGAUCGAGCCUAGACCAUUCAGUCAUAAAGUUUCUUUCUUUGCUAAAGUCGUUCUCCGAGAGUAAUGCCCCCUAGUGUUCGGGGCCGAUCGUAGAGAGGCCUCGAAUACUGUUAUCGUGAUCUUCGAUACCGGUUCAUAACCGGCCUUCAAUUAUAAUUUAGAAUAAUUUACUGUUGCCUCGUUAUAAACCUUGCCGAAAAGCCCAUUUGGGACAAAACUGAUUCAAGGGAAAAAGAGUGCAACGCGUGCUUUUAGGCCUAAAAAUUGUAUCGCUCCUUGUUUGUUACCUGCAACUAUUAGUUCAAAAUAAAAGAAAUGAAUGGGGUCGUACCUUAGCAGUUAAUAUCGUUUCAAGUGAGUUAUAUUCCAGUUGUUCGAUAGUUGCUUGUCGUUCAGUGCUCCGAGUUUGUAGGACCCUUUUUCGGUGAUCUCGAUAAUUUGAUAUGGACCUUCCCAGUUCGAUCCCAACUUCCCUUCGUUCGGGUUUCAGAAGUUUAGUGUAACCUUUCUUAAUACCAAGCCCCCGAUAUCGUGUCAAAGGUUGGCCCUUCGAUUAUAAUAUCUCUCGAUUCGCUGCUUUUAGGCGACCAUUCGGACAAGGGAGGUUUCGCGCCUUUCAUCUAAUAUAUCCAGGCUUGUAUUCAUGGCCUCGUCGUUUGAUUCCCUGGUUGCAUUCGAAACCUGAGACUUAAUUCUCUGACUUUGACCGGUAUUAUAAUUUCGGUGUCAUAAACCAGUGAGAAUGGGGUGGCCCUGGUACUGGACUUCGAGGUCAUACGGUAUGCCCAUAAGACUUCGGGCAGGAUUUUCUUCCAUUUUACUUUGGCGUCAGUUAACCACUUUUUGAGAUUCUGGAGUAUAGUUUUGUUGGUCGAUUCUGCUUGUCCAUUCCUACUAGGGUGAUAGGGUGUUGAUAGGAUCCUUUUGAUCUUGUGGUCUUCGAGAAACUUGUUUACUUUGCUGCCGAUGAAUUAUUUCUCGUUGUCACACACGAUCUCGGCCGGCAUUCCGAACCGGCGUAUGAUGUGGUCUCAUAUGAAGUCGAUGACCUCCUUCUCCCUGACCUUCUCGUAUGUCUAGGCUUUCACCCACUUAGAAAAAUAGUCAGUCAUAAACAAUAUGAAUUGAGCCUUACAAGGUGCCCAUGGAAGGGGGCCAACGAUGUUCAUUCCCCACUUCAUGAAUGGCCAUGGUGACAGAACCGAAUGCAACAGCUCCCCGGGUUGAUGAAUCAUUGGAGCAUGUCUUUGACAUUCGUCACAUUUUCGUUAGAACUCCUUCCCGUCUUUUUUCAUAUCGAUCCAGUAAUAGCCAGCUCUGGUUACUUUUUGAAAUAAUGAUUCGGUGCCUAAAUGCUUUCCACAGGUGCCUUCGUGGAUUUCCCUCAUAACGUACUCGGUGUCUCCCAGUGCUAGACAUAUCACGAGCGGGUCAUCGAAUAUUCUUCUGAAUAGGGCCCUCGAUUCUUUUGGAUUCGAGGGCAGUUUUCCGGUCUUUAGAUAUCCUAUAUAUUUGUUUCUUCAGUCCCAAGUUAGGCUCGUUAGGUUAAUCUCAGCAUGGCCUUCUUUCACUACUGAUCUCACAAGUUGUACGACUGCCCCCGAAUUGAACUCGUCGUCCUCGACCGAUGACCCUAAGUUAGCAAGGGCAUCGGCCUCACUGUUUUAAUCCCGAGGUAUAUGUUGCAAAGUCCAUUCUUUGAACCGAUGUGAUGUUACCUGCAACUUAUCCUGGUACCUUUGCAUUCGUUAUUCUCUAACCUCGAACGUCCUAUUAACUUGGUUCACCACGAGGAGGGAGUCGCACUUGGCUUCGAUCACCUCUGCCCCAAGCUUUUGGCUAGUUCGAGACCUGCAAUCAUGGUCUCAUAUUCGGAAUUGUUGUUAGUCAAUUUCAUAGUCCUAAUAGAUAGUCUAACUAUAUUUCCUGUUGGUGGCUUCAACACGAUGCUAAGUCCGGACCCUUUUGCAUUCAAGGCGCUGUCCGUAAAGAGGAUCCAGAUCCACGAAGAUGUCCCCGAGUUCACCAACAACUCUCUUUCGACCUCGGGUAUUAGGGCCGGCGUAAAGUUGGCCACGAAGUCCGCCAAUAUUUGAGAUUUAAUGGUGGUCCAGGGUUGAUAUUGAAUAUCGUACCCGCUGUUCUCCAUGGCCCAUUUGGCCUAUCAUCCCGAGAGUUAAGGUUUAUGAAUUAUAUUUCGCAAUGGGUAAGUAGUCACAACACAUAUAGGAUGACAUUGAAAAUAUGGUUUCAGCUUCCUAGAGGCGCUUAGCAAAGCAAACGCCAAUUUUUCUAGGUGAGGGUACCUAGUUUCGGCCUCACCUAGAGUUCUGCUAACAUAGUAAAUGGGAAAUUGUGUACAUUGCUCUUCCCGGACCAGGACUCCACUUAUCGCUAUCUCCGAUACUGCCAAGUACAGGUAUAGUUGUUCGUCUGUCUUCAGCGUGUGAAGUAUGGGUGGGCUCGAUAGAUAUCGCUUGAGUUCCUUCAAGUCCUGUUGGCACUCCGGGGUCCAUGAGAAGUUAUUAUUCUUCUUCAAUAGUGAGAAGAAUCAGUGGCUCUUAUGGGAGGACCUCGAGAUGAAUCGCCCUAGGGUGGCUAUGCUCCCGAUUAAUCUUUGCACGACCUUUAUGUUGUCCACAACCGUGAUAUCUUCGAUGGCUUUGAUCUUGUCGGGGUUGAUAUCGAUUACCCGGUUGGAUACCAUGAAUCCAAGGAAUUUACCUGACCCAACUCCAAACGCACAUGGGUUCAACUUCAUAUUGUAUUUCUUUAAUAUGUUGAAGGUUUCCUGCAAAUGUUCUAAAUGGUCCUCUCCUCGCAGAGACUUAACCAACACAUCGUCAAUGUAAACCUCCAUUGAUUUUCCUAUUUGUUCCUCGAACAUCCGGUUUACUAGGUGUUGGUAAGUGGCCCUGGCAUUUUUUAAUCCGAAUGGUAUCAUGUUAUAGCAAUAUGUGUCGCAUUUAGUGAUGAAUGAGGUUUUUUCCUGAUCACCCGGGUUCAUCCGUAUUUGGUUGUACCCGGAGUAGGCAUCGAGAAAAUUGAGGAUCUUGUGGCCGGCCGUGGCAUCAAUCAUGCGAUCGAUGUUGGGCAAAGGUAAGGAGUCUUUGAGACAUUCCCUAUUCAAAUCCUUAUAGUCUACACACAUUCUCAAUUUAUUCCCUUUUUAGGGACUACCAUUACGUUCGCUAACCAAUCUGGGUAUUUAACCUCCCGAAUGGACCCUAUUUUAAGGAGUUUAGAUACCUCAUCCUUUAUGAAAGCAUGUUUGACCUCGGACUGGGGCCUCCUCUUCUGCUUGACCGGAUGGAACUUCGGGUCCAGGUUUAGCUUGUGAGUGGUUAUUUCUGGCGGGUUCCCUGUAAUAUCAAGGUGGGACCAAGCGAAACAACCUAUGUUACCUAUAAGAAAUUGAAUGAGUUUUUUUCUGAACUCAGGACUUAACCCCAUGCCCAGGUAUACCUUCCGGUCGGGUAGAUGCUCGAUCAAUAUGACCUGUUCCAUCUCCUCGACUAUCGAUUUAGUGGUGUCGGCAUCAUCGGGGGCUAUAAAAGACCCGGGAACCCCGUAAUCAUCGUCUUCAUCAUUCCCCUAUUUCUAAGGUUGGGUGAGGGUUGGUGUCGGUAAUUGCUAUUUAGCUUCUUGCUUUGUGACUGAACUCAGACCCUUUAUCGUUGCAAGUGCGGAUAUCGAAAUUGCCUCUUCGACUGCAAACAUCUCCUUUGCGACUGGCUGUUCUCCGUAGAUUGUUUUAAUCCCACCUGGUGUUGGGAAUUUUAACACUUGGUGUAGAGUCAAGGGAACUGCCCUCUUGUUGUGGAUCCAUGGCCUCCCAAACAAAGUGUUGUACCUAAUGCCUCAUUCGAUUACAUAAAACUUAGCUUCCUUGAUGGUCCCGGCGGUAUUCACCGGUAAUGUUAUCUCCCCCUUAGUGGUUUCACAUGCCAUGUUGAAACCGUUUAGAAAGCGGACUGCAUACACGAUUUGAUCUUGUAGACCGAGCUGCUCCAUGAUCCUCGAUCGGAUGAUGUUGGCCGAGCUACCUGGGUCAAUUAACACAUGCUUAACUCGAUAUUUAUUUAUGAGUACAGAUAUUACCAGUGCAUCAUUGUGGGGCUGCAUGAUCCCUUCCGCGUCUUCAUCGUUAAAAGACAAGGUUCCUUCCGGUAUGUAAUCUCGAGUCUAUUUUUCCCUCGUGAUGGAUACUUUGGUGCGCUUCAACAUCGGCCCCUGAGGGGCAUCGACCCCACCGAUGAUCAUGUUAAUGACGUGUUGAGGUUCUUCUUGUUCAGUCUGUUUGUUAGAAUCCAUAUUCCUGAAAUGAUUCUUGGCUCGGUCGCUCAGGAAUUCUCGAAGAUGCCCGUUGUUGAAUAGUCGGGCUACUUCCUCUCUCAACUGUCGGCAAUCCUCCGUUCUGUGGCCGUGAGUACCGUGAUAUUUACACAUCUAGUUAGGAUCCCUUUGGGUUGGAACAGAAUGUAGAGGUCGAGGUCAUUUGGUGUCCUUGAUGCGUCCGAUAGCUGAUACAAUGGCGGCAACAUCGAUGUUAAAUUUAUAAUCCGAUAACCUCGCUGCUUCCUUAGGCCCGAUAGGCCUGUCGAAACCGUUCUUGCCCAUGAUUCCCCUGGUUAUUUUGACAUCGAUCACUUCUCCUUUCACUUCUUAUGGGAUUUCUCCCAGAUCCGUUACCUCUUUGAUCCCUGCUUAAUCUCGGUUCACGAUCAAUGUCUCUCUUGGCUCUAUCGACGGCUCUGACGGGAUAAACGGACCCCGAAGGGGCCCCAAAUUGAUCAUCCUCGACUCUGAUUUUCUAUUGAUACCGGUUAUGUACGGCGGCCCAAGUAACAGUCGGAUAUUCUAUCGGGUUUUGUUUCAACUGCUGUGAAGCCACCGAGCUUCGAACAUUGAGUCUGUGGGUGAAAUCUUGAACGGCCCAAUCAUCCGCAAUCGGGGUUAAGUCCAUUCUCUCCAUUUGAAAUUGGGACACAAAUUCUCUGAGCAUUUCAUUAUACCGCUAUUUUACUUUGAAUAGGUCAGACUUCCUGGUCUCGACCUUGAUAGCUCUGACAUGUGCUUUUACGAAGGAAUUUGCAAGCACAACAAACGAGUCAAUAGAAUUAGGAUGUAGGUUAUGGUACCAUAUCAUGGCUCCCUUUGACAAGGUCUCUCCGAACUUCUUCAACAAGACAGACUCGAUCUCAUCAUCCUCCAAGUCGUUCCCUUUUAUUGCACAUGUGUAGGAGGUUACAUGCUCAUUUGGGUCGGUCAUUCCGUUGUACUUAGAAAUCUCGAGCAUGCGAAACUUCUUAGGGAUCGGCUUUGGAGCCGCACUCGGAGGAAAAUAUUUUUGCACAAACUUCUUGGAAUCCAGGCCUUUCAAUACCGACGGUGCUCCUGGGAUUUGGUCGACCCUAGAAUUGUAGGUUUCCAUCUUUUUGUUAUUAGCUUCGAUGUUCUUCUCCCCUGAUUAUACCCGUUUGGUCAGUUCCUCGAGCAUCUUUAUGAUCUUAGGUUAGUCCCUGAUUCGUUGUCAUUCGACCUCUCUGCAACCGGUUCAUCCCUGUGGGUGAUUUCCCAGGACGGAUCGAGUUCAAUUCUGCUCGGUGCGCGGCUUUGGUUCUAUAACUAAGCUAUUACCGCAUGUUGAGCCUGCAACAUUUCAAAGAUCACCCGUAGACUGAUCCCGUAUCCUCCAAUGUUUUGUGUAUUUUGAGUUGCCGAUCGGGUUCUACCACGGACGCUAUUCUCGGGGUCGGUAGGCAGGUUUGUGUCGAUAGCCACAUGUGAAUUAGCGUCGAUUUGGUCUACGACCGGAAUUCCGAUGGGAUCAACGGGCGGUACCUCGUCAACGGGCGCUAUGUUGUUAUUUUUGCCGUGAUGACCUAUAACAACCCGAAAAGGUUUGAAGUACUUAAGUGUAAAGCUCGAUAAAUUUUGCAAAGAAAUAAUGUUUCAUGGUGCCGGACUAGGCUUACGUGGCUCAGACUUUUUGGGUUGAACAAUGCACGGAAAAGUGAAGGAAUAUUUUUAGCAGAAAAGUGCGUUUAUGCGGUCCAUUAUGCGACCGCAUAAUCACUCUGUGGGCCGCNNNNNNNNNNNNNNNNNNNNNNNNNUGUGCAUUAAUAAUGUUUCGACUUCAAGUCAAGUUCAAACGAAGGCUAUUAUGCCAAAUUUUGUGAAAUAUCUCUAUGCGCCUUAGACUCUAAAUUUUUCACAUGUGUACUACACACCUUGAUUUGAAUUGUAUUUGUUAUUGAUGAUGAUGAUGAUAUUUGAAAUUGAAAUGGUGAGCAGGAAAUACUGAAUAUGGCCAAUGUGCCAAGAUUGAUCUUAUAAUUUUGGCUAUUAUUGCCAAUUAAAUGAAAAGAUGUGAAAGUAAUAUGAAAUGCGAUGAUUGAUAUAAAAAGGUUGAUGUCUCGAUUAAGACAGCCUAGCCGAGCGGGUCGUGAUCGGACACCAUGCCGCACACAUGGUGGUGAUUGUGCUGGAAAUUGUAAUUGAAAUGGUAAUUAUGGUUGAUGUCCCUAAUGGAUAGCCUAGCUGAUCGGGUCGUGAUCGGACUCCGUGUUAAAGACGGUGGUAUUGAUAUUGAGAGAAAUUGUGGUUGAUGUCUCAAAUGAGAUAGCCUAGCCGAUCGGGUCGUGAUCGAACUCCGUGCUAAGAGUAUAGUGGUACUGGUUUUUGUGAAUAUUGGUUUUGUGAGUAAUGGUAUUGUGAAUAAUGGUAUUGUGGACAAUGGUAUAUCGAUACUAAAAUUCUCCCAGUGUGAGAUAUGAAAAUUUAUUUGAACAGUGUCUUGAUCCUAAAUUGAGGUUUGAUGUUGAAUAAAGCUUUCUUUGAUAUUAUGAUAAUCUUGUUUGUAUUAUUUGUCAUUCUAUUGAGAGGAUGUUUAGUUAUACAUACUAGUGCUAUUCGAUAGUACUAGCGUCCCUUUUGCCGGGGGAGUUGCAUCUUUUAAUGGAUGCAGGUGGUUCCACAGUAGGAGAUAUUGGUGAGUGAUAGCAUUGCACCUUCUUUCCAACUGACUUGGUGAGCCCCGCUUCAUUUCGGGGUCAUGAAUCUUUUAUACUUUGUAUUCUGUUUGAGGUAUAGCCGAGGCCUUGUUGCCGGCAUUAUCAUUGUACUCUUCUUUAUCUAUAGAGGCUCCGUAGACAUAGUGUGGGUUGUGUAUUGGUGCUGGGAAAGACAAGCUAUGCUAUGUUGUGGUUGUAUUACUUGUCCAUUUGAGACUUUAAAAAUAGUGAAACUUAUGAUAAGAAAUUGGUAAUUGUAGACAUCACCACUUUAUUGUUUAAUUAAGGAAAACAUAUAUUCUCUUUAUUCAUGAAUGAGUUUGGGUAGAAGGGAUCUAACAGGCUUGCUCGGUCGGGUUCACUCGGUUGAGCCCCGAUCGCGCUCCCCGGUUUUGGGGCGUGACAUGACCGGACUCAUUGUCAAUAUGUAUGGGUACUGAUUGAGAGUUCGAUAUUUUAAAUUUUAACCUGAAUUUAGAGACACUUCAAAGAAUAAGUGUAAAGUAGUGUGUGUUAUGGAGAUUUGUAUCAAAUAACCACUAUUAUCCUUAGCCCCACGGUGGACGCCAAACUGUUUACCCUCAAAAUGGGAUAACAAUUAAAUUUGUAAGUGAUUUUAAGGAUACGUGGAUUAACUUUACACAAAACGAUAAUUUAGAUUGUAAUUUAAAUAAAUAAUGAUAAAAUAAAUGCAAACCACACGAAUUUAACAGUCUCAGCCUUGGAAGGUUAAUCACCCUUGAGCUGGACGUACUUCGAUCGGUAUCAAGACACAGAAGAAUAAGAGAUUAAAGAGAAUAAUAAUGUAUUGCUUUGGAAUGCGUGUUACAAUCUCUUUUACAAGUAACCAGACCCCCUUUAUAUAGUAGGGGAGUCCUACAUUAGUUACAACUCUAUAAAAGGUAAAAAAUCUCUUGAUUUGAUGAUUGUCGGUUCCUUAUUGAUACAUGCCGAGAUUUCCGUCGUAAUAUCCGACCGGUCACAGAUAUUUCGGUGUUCUGUUAUGCUAACAAUGUUUCUUCGAGGUCGUUUGAACCGGGACCGAUUCCGGAGUCACGGCCUCGGUGUUAUCGAAGGCAGGUUUUUGGUCCCGGUUGCUAACCCGGUAGGGCUUGGGGCCAAUCUUCAGUCCUUUAUUGCCAUGUCUCGAGCCCGACAUAUCAUGUCGGAUGCUAGGGUAUACUACGAGCUCGAUUUUACCCGUAUACAAUAAGGUGGCUCCGCCACUUCCCUUGACCUAUAAGUUACAUGUAGACAAAUGUACUAUUGCUCCGAGGCUCCUCUCAAGAGCAACUUUACAAUUACAAAGGCAAAAAGGAACAAAACAUUGAGACAACAUUUAUAUUAUAAAAUAUAUAGUCAAAUCUAAGAAUAGAAAUUCAUAACUUACACGGUAGAUCCUUCGAUAGAUAGGUAGUUAUAUACUUCGAAAAUGAAAGAUUUUUUUUUUCGUUAACAAACUUACUUUAAUAUGGAUUCUGUUUCAACAUCAGAGAAGUUCUUCUUGUCCGAUAUAAAAUGAAUGUAUGAGUCAUGCUCUAAAUCUCCCCAUCCACUCUUAAAUACAAGUAGCUAAAUUAACAAUAUUGACUCUUUCAAAUAUAAAGACAGCCGAAUGCAUAAAACAUUCCUUAUUUACACAUAGGGUAUAGAGAAGGACGGCAUUACAAACACAAUUAUUAGUGUUGAUUUCACGGCUUGAAGAACUCGUAAUUUCUAGGUCAUAUGAUGAACAGAGACAGAGCUAUAGAAUUUAAAGUUUAUAUAUGAGUUCUGAAAUGAUCAUUAAACUUAUAACUCAUCUUAGUUGCUGGGUUCGUAAUUCAAUAUUUAUAUAUAUUUAAUAAAUUUUUUAAUUUGAAUUCAUCUGAACCCGUAGGUAAUAAUAUCCCUUCGCCCCCUCAUAUGAAGACGAUUAUACUAAUACUCCAAAGCUCCUUUCAAAUAUAAUCAUCUAACUUCGUUUAUAACCUAUGAAUUGUUCAAAUAAUACUAUAAGUUUAUGAAUACGUGGAAGCAACUCCAAGAUUGUUCUACUUUUGAAGAAAACAUUAUAAAGACUGUCCCUUCAAUUUCCUAUAAUUAUGGACGUCGUCGACAAGAACCUUUAAAAUAUAAUGAUUCAUGUUGGAUUCAUUUUUCACUUUUAGCACAAUUUGCAAAACCCUGGUCCAUGUUGGAACUCCUGUCUGGUUUCUAAAGUAAAUUAAUUUAUUUAUACGCAACAACAUAAAAAUAUAUUACAUUAUCGGUAUAAGUUAGUUUGUGAUAUCACUGUCAUUUUUAUCAGAUCGCUAAUUGAUAGUAAUUUUAUAGAAAUUUACUUACAAUUAUUUUACAAAUAAUAUGACUAUGUAAAUAUUUUUUAUACUAUCAAUACGUAAAACCAAAACUUUUCCAAAGUUUAUUUGAUAAUUUUGAGAAAUCAGAAACACAGACUAAACUAUUUGGCAAUCAAAACGUCGUAAAAAGGAAGGACGAUAAAAUCCUAGGUUUCUUGCCUUAAAAGUUGGUCAGUUAGAUUUGCAAUUAUUUCAUCAAUUCAUUGACUUGACUGUCUGUCAACAUAUCUAGGUUUAAUUUCUUUAUUUUUUUAAAAAAAAAAUACAAUAGAUGGAUCUUCUUCCUUGCCCUUGUUAAGCAAUAUGAUUAGGUUUUCGAAAGGGCCAAAGUGACGGUUUGACAGAUUAGAGGAGUCGAAACGAAAAUAAAAUACAAUUAAUGGAUUAUGUGGGAUUUUAGAAAUUAAUACAUUAUGAUCAUUAUUCAUUACCUCUCUAAAAAUACAUUAUUGAAAAUAAUAGAGGCCACCUUCUUUUAUGGAGUUGCUUUCAUGAUAGAUACCAUCUUAGCUUUCUUAUUUAACCAAUACACGUAAUUUUUAUUGAAAAUUGACGUACAUUUAAUAUGGGUUCAGAUGUUUUAAAUAGUGAUAUCUUUUCCUUCUUCUUUUUUUUGCCGACAUAAAUAGUGAUAUUUGAUGUAGCAAUUUUUUUAUCAUUCUAAUCAACAAGAUCGCGAAAUGUUAAUAUUGUAUUUUAUAAAUUAUUUUUCCUGUAAUGUUGGUUAAGGUACUUGUACCUAUUACAAAGACAAAGAAUGUCCAAUGCUAAGUUGUCGUAGACAAAACCCUGAUAUAAUCAAUUUUGCGCCACUGGCCUUUGAAAAUUCUCGAUUAUAAAGAAAAUAGUGUCAUGCUAGGCGCGAAAACUACAAUUUAUGAGGUAGAAAUAAUACGAGUUUGGUCCAAAACAAUUGUAGUUAUAGAUGAUUUAAUAUUGAGCAGUCUCGCUGCACAAAACAUCUCGCAUUCACGCAGGGUUCAGGAAAAGGCCGCAUUCUAAGAGUGUGAUAUAGACACUCUAUCCUAAUAAUAGUAUUGUUUGUCAAAAUAUACAAUCGUCACUUAGGCCUUAGUUAAGCACUUUAAUCGCACAAAAGAUUCAAAGUUAACAUUACUUAGGCCUCAUUUAUUUUUAUUAAGAUUAAUAUGUCUGAAUCUGAAUACACAUCUAAAUAUUAAUAUGUGUAUUAAGACUAAAAUGUAUGAAUUUGAAUUCACAUCUAAAUAUUAAGAUUUUGUAUUAAGAUUUGAAUAUUGAAUAAUUAAGACAAUUUAUUUUCUCUACAUCCGAAUGUAUAAAAUUUUCUUUAUUUGAACAGUAAUAAUUAUUAAUUCAAUCAAAUAAUACUAAUUUAUUUAAUACUAUAUUAAUAAAAUAUUUUUAAAUAUUAUAUGGUGGUUGGUGGUAGUGAUGGCUAAAGGUAGUGAUUGUGGGUGUAGACUGGGUAGUAGCUGAUGGUAGUUGAUGGUAGUGAUUAUUGGUAGUAGAUGAUGGAUGACAGUAGUAGUUAACGGUGGUGAUUAAUAGCGGUGGUGACUGUAACUAGAAUGGGUGAAAUAUAAUGGUGGCUGAUAGUGAUGAUCGAUGGUUGUUGUGAAAAUAGUGACUGGUGGUGAUGGUUGAAAAUAAUGACUAAUGAUGGUGACAACUGACAUUCGCGCUUGGCAGCGAUGAUGGUUGUGGCUGAGGAUUGGUAGUAAUAGGUGGUGGCUAGUGAUUGUGGUAGUCUAUAAUGGUAGAGAACGGUGAUAGUAAUGGUGGUGGUGGUUAGUGGUGAACGUGUCAGAUUUAUGAUGAAAUGUCAUUUUUUAAAUAAAUUCUUGAAUGUGUAACAUCUUAAUGGUAUUAAGACUCUAUUAUAUAUCUUAAUUAUUAAGAUAUAUUCAAAUUCAUUAAGUGGUUGUAAUAUUAAAAAAAAAACUUAAUGGUUAAGAUGUGAAUUAUUAAGAUUUAUAUCUAAAAAAGAAUGUACUUAAUGACUGAGAUCUGAAUGAUUAAAAUUCAGACCUCCCUCAAGUACAAAUAAAUGUGACCUUAGCGAAAUGACUCUAGAAUUAUAAGGAAUGUUCUAAAAUAACUCUUAUAGACCAAAUAAUAUUUUAAUAAAAAAAUAAGAUAUAUCAACUUAAAGGGCAUAACUAUUGAAUCAGAAUUCACGCCAACUGCCCUGAAAAAAAUAGGAGACGUGGGCCACAAGUAAUACGUAAACUGUCGAGUUGCACGACGAAAAAACACCCAAAUGCACACUCCUCCUAUCUUCUCCAUAUAAAUAUUCAUCACUUUUGGACCCCCUCUCCCUUGUGUAUUUUGAGUUGUAACAACACAUGUAAGCAGGUGAGGGCAUUUAAUUUAAAGGCUCAUGUACUCAUAGGCGAAUUCGAGAUUUAGAUUAUGUUGGUUCAACUUUUAAGAUAUUUUGCAUUAAACUCAUUGUAUUUUCAAAGUUAUGGGUUCAGACUUAUCAUUUGUUGCAAUUUUAAUGAAUUUUUAUACAUAAAUUUAUAUUCCGCAUCGAAAGUAUUGGAUUCGGAUAAACACGGUGGCCAAACUCUACAUCGGCCUCUGCAUGCACUAGCUAGUCUUAUAGAAGCACACGGAGGGGGUCCUAUUGGGAACUUCAGUUGGAUAUAAUUUUCUUCACCAGUCAUAUUCCUAGGGACCAUGACAUUGCAGUUUAACUAAUGCAUUAAAACUCUAUAACGUACCACCCAAAAACAUUGAAGUGCUCAUGCAUUAACUACCUACUCCUAUGUGUUAAUUAUAUCCUAUAUAAGAAAGUUAUUUGAUAAUAACCAUAGAAGAGAUUAAAUCACAACACGUAAACACAAAAGGCCUAAAAAUACUCUUAACAUGAUGUGAUAUUAUUCGUUUUGGGCCAAUCUCGGAUGAUUUUUCUCUGAAGGCCUCACACAAUUAAGAGAUCUCUACAUGUUAUAGUAGACUCCCAAUCUUUUCAGCUAUCAAUGUGGUACUUUGUUCGCACGCCCAACAAUCUACCAUCGAACUAAGUUGCACGUGGCCCACAUACUACGGUCAACGGGUCUCCCCCUCAAACUAAGUUCCAUGUGGCCCAUAGCCACAAUGCAUGGAUCAAUUUUCGAGAUUCACCUUGUGUCACCCACAUUGUUAGAGUAUAUACGCUUAACUCCAUGGUUCAUCAACAACAAUUGGUGUUUAAGUCCGAGAUUCUAAAGCAUAUGACGGAGGGUAAAUCGACGAAGGGCCGAUCAAAAAGAAGGACUAUCAGGCUUCUAUGAUGGCAAGUUUAUAGGGGAUGCACAUGAAACAUUAGGCAAAUCUACAUCGGAAUAGGAAAAGGAUAUAAGUUCACAUGAUAUUCGUACUUUUGGGCUCAAUAAUGACAUAGUCCAAGGAACAAAUCUAUCAAGUCUGUUGGCCGAAGCGGACAAUACAUAUUAUGUACUUGGGCUGUGACAGAAUAGUCAAUUGGCUUCACUUAUCCACAUACACUAUAUGGACUAAUAUUUUAUUCACACGUAGGCACAAACCACUAUCCUUGUGUGCAAAAUCCAAAUUCCAACAUAUUGCUCUUACAAUCUACUAACUAUAAUAGUAUUUGAUAAAAAAGCCAUUGUCAAAAAUCAGAGAGCUGGUUGUUUCAGAAAAACUUGGCCAUGUUAUCAUGUUUUGCUGUCUAUAUGCGAGAUGUCAUUAACCAAGAUCUCCCAACCGAGCUAACAAGAUCCGUUCUGAAUUUGUUUUCCAAG